RNAcentral lists this ribosomal RNA (471 nucleotides) under Rhizobium sp. LR51. RNAcentral's name for it is "bacterial SSU rRNA". It matches the Rfam family "Bacterial small subunit ribosomal RNA", at positions 138 to 643 of the family's 1533-position model. Lineage: Bacteria; Pseudomonadati; Pseudomonadota; Alphaproteobacteria; Hyphomicrobiales; Rhizobiaceae. The record is from RNAcentral.
GCGGAAUAGCUCCGGGAAACUGGAAUUAAUACCGCAUACGCCCUACGGGGGAAAGAUUUAUCGGGGAAGGAUUGGCCCGCGUUGGAUUAGCUAGUUGGUGGGGUAAAGGCCUACCAAGGCGACGAUCCAUAGCUGGUCUGAGAGGAUGAUCAGCCACAUUGGGACUGAGACACGGCCCAAACUCCUACGGGAGGCAGCAGUGGGGAAUAUUGGACAAUGGGCGCAAGCCUGAUCCAGCCAUGCCGCGUGAGUGAUGAAGGCCUUAGGGUUGUAAAGCUCUUUCACCGGAGAAGAUAAUGACGGUAUCCGGAGAAGAAGCCCCGGCUAACUUCGUGCCAGCAGCCGCGGUAAUACGAAGGGGGCUAGCGUUGUUCGGAAUUACUGGGCGUAAAGCGCACGUAGGCUGAUAUUUAAGUCAGGGGUGAAAUCCCAGAGCUCAACUCUGGAACUGCCUUUGAUAGUGUGUAUCUU